Molecule: ribosomal RNA, 253 nt
Filed under: uncultured bacterium
Lineage: Bacteria
Description: partial 16S ribosomal RNA
Rfam family: Bacterial small subunit ribosomal RNA
Source: RNAcentral
UACGAAGGGGGCUAGCGUUGCUCGGAAUCACUGGGCGUAAAGGGUGCGUAGGCGGGUCUUUAAGUCAGGGGUGAAAUCCUGGAGCUCAACUCCAGAACUGCCUUUGAUACUGAGGAUCUUGAGUACGGGAGAGGUGAGUGGAACUGCGAGUGUAGAGGUGAAAUUCGUAGAUAUUCGCAAGAACACCAGUGGCGAAGGCGACUACCUGGCCUGUUCUUGACGCUGAGGCGCGAAAGCUAGGGGAGCAAACGGG